Molecule: long non-coding RNA, 564 nt
Filed under: Callithrix jacchus (white-tufted-ear marmoset)
Lineage: Eukaryota; Metazoa; Chordata; Mammalia; Primates; Cebidae
Description: lncRNA (ENSCJAG00000073485.1)
Source: RNAcentral
GAAACUGAGACGCUGUCUGUAAGCUGCCCAAGGUCACAUAACUGCUAAGUGCUGUACCCAAGGCUAGAACCCAUGCUCUUAACUACUACAUGAAACUGCUGAUUGCUCUUCUGAUGAGCUUUGACUGAAUCCACUGGGGUCAGAAGCACAUGUGUUUCUGAACAGAAAGGUGCACAGAGGAAAGGGCAUGUGAGGACACAGAUAUAAGGCAACCGUCUGCAGCCCGACCAGCAAGAUCUUACCAGAAACAAACCCUGCUGGCAUCGUGAUCUUGGACUUCCAGCCUCCGUAACUGUGAAACAGUACACUUCUGUUGUUUAAGCAUUCAGCCUAUAGUAUUUUGCUACAGCAGCCUGAACUGACUCAUACAAUCACUAAAUUAACAAAAGGGGGGAUUAAAAGUAUUAUAUCUGUUUCACUCAAGACAUGAGUAGGAAACAGAAAAGUUGGACCAAAAAAACCAGAUAAACAGAAAUUUAGUAAAUGUUUGGAAAAUUCUCAGCCAGUGCUCUCAAGGUGGCAGUUGAAGAAAUGGAAAUCUUCUCUCCUAGUGAUACACCCCCU